GGCGGCCCGCAAGGGUCAGUCGAGCGGCGAACGGGUGAGUAACGCGUGGAUUAUCUACCCUGAGGUGGGGGAUAACCCGGGGAAACUCGGGCUAAUACCGCAUAUGACCGCGAGGUCAAAGGGGGGUCGCAAGAUCUCUCGCCAUAGGAGGAGUCCGCGUUCGAUUAGCUAGUUGGUAGGGUAAUGGCCUACCAAGGCGACGAUCGAUAGCCGGCCUGAGAGGGUGAUCGGCCACACUGGAACUGAGACACGGUCCAGACUCCUACGGGAGGCAGCAGUGGGGAAUUUUGCGCAAUGGGCUAACGCCUGACGCAGCAACGCCGCGUGGAGGAUGAAGGUCUUUGGAUUGUAAACUCCUGUCGACCGGGAAAAAGCGACCCGACCUCAUACGUCGGGAAGUUGAUUGUACCGGUGGAGGAAGCCCCGGCUAACUCUGUGCCAGCAGCCGCGGUAAUACAGAGGGGGCAAGCGUUAUUCGGAAUUAUUGGGCGUAAAGGGCGCGUAGGCGGCCUGGCAAGUGGAAGGUGAAAUCCCUCGGCUUAACCGAGGAACUGCCCUCCAAACUGCUUGGCUUGAGUCCGGGAGAGGUGAGUGGAAUUCCCAGUGUAGCGGUGAAAUGCGUAGAUAUUGGGAGGAACACCAGUGGCGAAGGCGGCUCACUGGACCGGAACUGACGCUGAGGCGCGAAAGCGUGGGGAGCAAACGGGAUUAGAUACCCCGGUAGUCCACGCCGUAAACGAUGAGUGCUUGGUGUAGCGGGUAUCGACCCCUGCUGUGCCGAAGUCAACACAUUAAGCACU
Molecule: ribosomal RNA, 800 nt
Filed under: uncultured Bacillota bacterium
Lineage: Bacteria; Bacillati; Bacillota
Description: bacterial SSU rRNA
Rfam family: Bacterial small subunit ribosomal RNA
Source: RNAcentral